This 301-nucleotide ribosomal RNA is filed under the name uncultured bacterium. RNAcentral's name for it is "partial 16S ribosomal RNA". It matches the Rfam family "Bacterial small subunit ribosomal RNA", at positions 509 to 807 of the family's 1533-position model. The record is from RNAcentral.
CAGCCGCCGCGGUAAUACGAAGGGUGCAAGCGUUACUCGGAAUUACUGGGCGUAAAGCGUGCGUAGGUGGUGGUUUAAGUCCGUUGUGAAAGCCCUGGGCUCAACCUGGGAAUUGCAGUGGAUACUGGGUCACUAGAGUGUGGUAGAGGAUAGUGGAAUUUCCGGUGUAGCAGUGAAAUGCGUAGAGAUCGGAAGGAACAUCUGUGGCGAAGGCGACUAUCUGGGCCAACACUGACACUGAGGCACAAAAGCGUGGGGAGCAAACAGGAUUAGAUACCCGAGUAGUCCCUGUCUCUUAUAC